This 254-nucleotide ribosomal RNA is filed under the name uncultured bacterium. RNAcentral describes it as "partial 16S ribosomal RNA". It matches the Rfam family "Bacterial small subunit ribosomal RNA", at positions 526 to 779 of the family's 1533-position model. The record is from RNAcentral.
CGAAGGGUGCAAGCGUUACUCGGAAUUACUGGGCGUAAAGCGUGCGUAGGUGGUUCGUUAAGUCUGAUGUGAAAGCCCUGGGCUCAACCUGGGAAUUGCAUUGGAAACUGGCGGGCUAGAGUACGGUAGAGGGUAGUGGAAUUCCUGGUGUAGCAGUGAAAUGCGUAGAGAUCAGGAGGAACAUCCGUGGCGAAGGCGACUACCUGGACCAGUACUGACACUGAGGCACGAAAGCGUGGGGAGCAAACAGGAUU